This 907-nucleotide ribosomal RNA is filed under the name uncultured bacterium. RNAcentral describes it as "bacterial SSU rRNA". It matches the Rfam family "Bacterial small subunit ribosomal RNA", at positions 10 to 909 of the family's 1533-position model. The record is from RNAcentral.
AGUUUGAUCCUGGCUCAGGAUGAACGCUAGCUACAGGCUUAACACAUGCAAGUCGAGGGGCAGCGGGAUUGAAGCUUGCUUCAAUUGCCGGCGACCGGCGCACGGGUGAGUAACGCGUAUCCAACCUUCCGUACACUCAGGGAUAGCCUUUCGAAAGAAAGAUUAAUACCUGAUGGUAUGAUGAGAUUGCAUGAUAGCAUCAUUAAAGAUUUAUCGGUGUACGAUGGGGAUGCGUUCCAUUAGGUAGUAGGCGGGGUAACGGCCCACCUAGCCAACGAUGGAUAGGGGUUCUGAGAGGAAGGUCCCCCACAUUGGAACUGAGACACGGUCCAAACUCCUACGGGAGGCAGCAGUGAGGAAUAUUGGUCAAUGGACGAGAGUCUGAACCAGCCAAGUAGCGUGAAGGAUGAAGGUCCUACGGAUUGUAAACUUCUUUUAUAAGGGAAUAAACCCUCCCACGUGUGGGAGCUUGUAUGUACCUUAUGAAUAAGCAUCGGCUAACUCCGUGCCAGCAGCCGCGGUAAUACGGAGGAUGCGAGCGUUAUCCGGAUUUAUUGGGUUUAAAGGGAGCGCAGACGGGUCGUUAAGUCAGCUGUGAAAGUUUGGGGCUCAACCUUAAAAUUGCAGUUGAUACUGGCGUCCUUGAGUGCGGUUGAGGUGUGCGGAAUUCGUGGUGUAGCGGUGAAAUGCUUAGAUAUCACGAAGAACUCCGAUUGCGAAGGCAGCACACUAAUCCGUAACUGACGUUCAUGCUCGAAAGUGUGGGUAUCAAACAGGAUUAGAUACCCUGGUAGUCCACACGGUAAACGAUGGAUACUCGCUGUUGGCGAUAUACUGUCAGCGGCUUAGCGAAAGCGUUAAGUAUCCCACCUGGGGAGUACGCCGGCAACGGUGAAACUCAAAGGAA